This 817-nucleotide ribosomal RNA is filed under the name Ursus arctos (brown bear). Its description in RNAcentral is "partial 16S ribosomal RNA". The stretch from base 153 to 817 matches the Rfam family "Bacterial large subunit ribosomal RNA", at positions 566 to 1721 of the family's 2925-position model. Lineage: Eukaryota; Metazoa; Chordata; Mammalia; Carnivora; Ursidae. The record is from RNAcentral.
CAGAGCUAGCCCAGAUAACAACUAACCAAACUACCAUAGACCAAUUAAAUAAAACAUUCAAUAGCAUAAUUAAAGUAUAGGAGAUAGAAAUUCUUUUAAUCGGAGCUAUAGAGAGAGUACCGCAAGGGAAUGAUGAAAGAUUACUUAAAGUAACAAACAGCAAAGAUUACCCCUCCUACCUUUUGCAUAAUGAGUUAGCCAGAAGUAGCCUAACAAAGAGAACUUAAGCUAGGCCCCCCGAAACCAGACGAGCUACCUAUGAACAAUCCACUGGGGUGAACUCAUCUAUGUUGCAAAAUAGUGAGAAGAUUUAUAGGUAGAGGUGAAAAGCCUAACGAGCCUGGUGAUAGCUGGUUGCCCAGAAUAGAAUUUUAGUUCAACUUUAAACUUGCCUACAAAACUUAAAAAUUUUAAUGCAAGUUUAAAAUAUAUUCUAAAAAGGUACAGCUUUUUAGAAUCAAGGAUACAACCUUACUUAGAGAGUAAAUACUGAUUAAAUCAUAGUAGGCCUAGAAGCAGCCAUCAAUUAAGAAAGCGUUUAAGCUCAACACCCAUAUCAACUUGAUACCAAAAAUAUCUAAUUAACUCCUAAUAUAAUAACUGGGCUAAUCUAUUUAAAUAUAGAAGGAACAAUGCUAAUAUGAGUAACGAGAAGUACUUCUCCAACGCAUAAGCUUAUAACAGCAACGGAUAACCACUGAUAGUUAACAACAACGUAGAAAUAAUCCAACAAUAAAACACCUACCAAACCAAUUGUUAAUCCAACACAGGCAUGCGACUAAGGAAAGAUUAAAAGAAGUAAAAGGAACUCGGCAAA